Mauremys reevesii (Reeves's turtle) is the source of this 382-nucleotide long non-coding RNA. RefSeq lists it as uncharacterized. NCBI's taxonomy places the organism in Eukaryota, Metazoa, Chordata, Testudines, Geoemydidae. The record is from RefSeq and is a predicted model, not a curated record. The transcript has 4 exons.
CUUUCUUCUGGAUAUCGUCCACCUAUGUAGCAGGGAAGAACAAUUCCAUCCAGUGCAGGAAUUAUAGGGUGGAACUCUAUGUACCUGUUGCAAAGGCAGAUUGAAGACAUGCACUUUGUACUUGGAUCAGAAAGUGGAGAGAGUGGAAGAGAAGCAGACAGAUGUCACAAGAAAAAUUGUUCUUCAACCCAGGAGAAAGCAAGAGCAAGUGGAAAUGUGGAGAGCGGUAGAGAGGAGGGCUGAUAUGCCUGCGAGUGACUAUUUUGAGUUGCAUCUUCUCCUCCCCUAAAUCAGGAACCAAAGAGAAAUGAGAAAAUCCAUCUAAUUUUCAAAUGUAAAGAAACACUUUAAAAACAGCAGCAUCACAAGACUGACCUUUGCC